AAUGAACGCUGGCGGCAUGCCUAACACAUGCAAGUCGAACGGCAGCACAGUAAGAGCUUGCCCUUACGGGUGGCGACUGGCGGACGGGUGAGGCAUACAUCGGAAUCUACUUUUUCGUGGGGGACAACGUAGGGACACUUAUGCUAACACCGAAUACGAUCUACGGGAGAAAGCAGUGGUUCUUCGGACCUUUCGCGAUUGAAAGAGCCGAUGUCGGAUUAGCUAGUUGGCGGGGUAAAGGCACACCAAGGCGACGAUCCGUAGCUGGGCUGAGAGGAUGUUCGGCCACACUGGAACUGAGACACGGUCCAGACUCCUACGGGAGGCAGCAGUGGGGAAUAUUGGACAAUGGGCGCAAGCUUGAUGCAGCAAUACCGCGUGGGUGAAGAAGGCCUUCGGGUUGUAAAGCCCUUUUGUUGGGAAAGAAAAGCAGCAGGUUAAAACCCCGAUGUUCUGACGGUACCUAAAGAAUAAGCACCGGCUAACUUCGUG
Molecule: ribosomal RNA, 492 nt
Filed under: uncultured bacterium
Lineage: Bacteria
Description: partial 16S ribosomal RNA
Rfam family: Bacterial small subunit ribosomal RNA
Source: RNAcentral